This is a long non-coding RNA of Halichondria panicea, 3273 nucleotides long. RefSeq lists it as uncharacterized. The record is from RefSeq and is a predicted model, not a curated record. The transcript is spliced from 4 exons. Lineage: Eukaryota; Metazoa; Porifera; Demospongiae; Suberitida; Halichondriidae.
AUCAACAAAAAUUAAUAUUUUAUGCAGAACCGAAUUUCUCCUGAAGGACAAGCAAAGCGCAAGUAAACACUUCAUUAGGGCUUAAACAAGGGAAGACCAAAGCCCAUUGCCCUAAGCUUCGUUCAGCAUGCACAACACAAGAUAUGAAGUUAAAAAAACGUGUGGAGCAACCAUACUACUGGACACCUUUAAGUAUAGACAUAAAUCAAGGAGGAGGGAGGAGGUUGGGAUGUAAAGACAGCCAAGAACUGAUGAUCAACUCAGGCCAUUAGACACUGUCAUUUUAUACUCUGUUAGGCUAGUAAGCAUAAUGUUUGUUAUUAUUUUCUGUGCACAUUUUCAGAAUUUUUGUAUAGUGAUUUUUACUAGUUCUGGUGAUGUUCACUACCUAAAUGUAGUGAUCGUCACUACUUAAAUGUAGUGAUUUGAAAAAGUGGUGAGGGUCACCAGUCGAUUUGCGGUGACUAUUGUGGCAGCCGUUUCACUACCUUUUGGUGGUGACGGUCACUUUCCAGUUUUUACAGUGUAUCCCUAUCCCUAUCUAUAUAGUAACCCCUAACUUUUAACUAUCCCUUAUCCCUAACCCUAACCCUCUAUCCCUAACCCCUAACCCCUCCUAAACAUAACUCUAUCCCUAUAUUCCUAUAACCCCUAACUUCUAACUAUCCCUAUCCCUAACCCUAACCCUCUAUCCCUAACCCCUAACCCCUCCUAAACAUCACCGUAACUCUAUCCCUAUUCCUAUAACCCCUAACUUCUAACUAUCCCUAACCCUAUAACCCAUAUAACCCCUCCUAUAUCCCUAAGUAUAUAUCCCUAUAUCCCUAGUAACCCCUAUAUAUUUUAAUUUAUCCCUACCCUAUCCCUAUUCCUAACCCUAACCCCUCUUACUUAACCCUAACCCCAGAGGAGGCUGGACACGCGUCACGCUUAAAACUGAGCCUUUUGUAUCCAUGCAGCUGUCUCCUGUUAGUUUAUGAGUCGUAGUAGUAUAUAUAUACACUAUAUAUGAUUGCUAUACCUACAUCAAGACAGGAGUAAAAAAACAAAGUCAAAUGCAGCAACAACUCGAAGUUGUAAUCUUAAGUUUCUGUCUCAUUGUUUCUAUAUGCCACUCAGUUUUCUAGUUUCACUGGGUAUUUUUAGCACUAGUAUGGAGUGCUAAUAUCGUUUGCAGUCUUUUGACUUGGCUGAAUAUAUAUAGCUACUGUUCUCUGUGAGUUUCCAUAUAUCUCUCCAUGUACACACAUUUCGUCCGUAAAACAUUAUAUGAUGCGUGUCCAACCUCCUCUGCCCAUAGCUAACUCUAUCCCUAUCCCUAACCCCUCCUAAACCUAACUAUUAUAUACCCCUACCCUAACCUCAAGUAAUCAUUAUAAUUUAUACAGUUAUACAAGUUAUACAUUUCACAAAUAUAUUGUAUAGUGUAUAACUGUGUAUAAUUGUUCAACAUUCAUUGUAUAAUUGAUGUAUAUUUGUGUAUAAUUAUACAGUUAUACAAGUUAUACAACACAUUCGGAAUGAAAACAAAAAUAAAUAUUUUUUUUACUAUAAUUAUUAUUAUUAUGUAAGCACACUAUACAGUUAUACCUAUUAUUGUAUAUUUGAGUUAUAGUUGGUAUAAAUUCUCACCACUAUACAGUUAUACAAUAUAGUGGUUGUAUAGUUGUGUAUAGCUGUAUAUAGAAAUUCUCAGCACCACUAUACAGUUAUACAGUAUAGUGGUUGUAUAGCUGUGUAUAGCUGUAUAAAGAUCCAAUCCUGCACCCUUAUGACACUCCGUGGAUGUGAAACACUUCCGCCCACUACCAAAAGUCCUGAAACACUCAUUGCAACGGAUGACACGGACCCAGUAUCCGGAAUUCCCAUAUAGUAUACGGAAUCUACUGCAUGGAUACAAUAAUAACAGUAACUACGUGUGAGUGAUUGGAUAACUGAAGCUCCCAGUCCAAGUUCUUCCAGUGCUAACUGAUUCUCUGCGCAGGGAGAGCCAAGAGAGAUGUUCAUGAAUGAAAGUGGAAAUGCAGAAAUCAUAUUGGAACCUGACAACUCUAGAUCUAGCUACAUGUACACUGCUGACUUAAUUUUUGUGAUGACAUUGUAUAUAUAGCACAGCAUGUAUGCACACAGAAUAUUAUAUAGGCAGGCAUCCAUGCACGGAGAUAGACUUAGUAAUAGACAACUAAAUGGACAACUAAAACUGAUUUAAAGUUGAAGGAGGAUUCUUCUUUAUCUUAUCGCUACUUGUGCUCGUACACUUGUUUGUUAGUCUUGCAUCAGGGAAUAAUUAUGCUCCUUUCCGCUUCCUUUGGUGAUAGAGCAUUACCUAAAUUAAAAAAGUGUGUUAGAAUGCACAUAAUAAUUUACUCCGGCCGCUGUACGAUUAUGUAUGCAUUAUCAUCAUACAGUACAUUUGUAUGAAUAAACAUGUUCACCACAAAAAGACACGCUUUCCUGAAAUAACAAAACAUUUACUGAGGGUCAAAAUAGAUUCUCCCGGUAUAAGGACAUCUAUAUUAUUGAAUGACCACAUCAUUUAAGUGAUGGAGCUUUUUGUUGGCAAGAUCGCCUAACCACAAGAUAGGUACUGUUGAACACCUAAUUUUGACCUAUCAUUCAGUUUGCUGCUAGCCGUAUACAUUUCCUUAAUUAAGUGCUGAACACAUUCUCCUGGUACUUCACUUCAUAGACUAACAGGAAAGCAAAGCGAAAUGUUCCAACUAUAAACCCAACCAAAGAUCGCCUAACCACAAACUUGUCACCUAGUAAGUUCACCGCUGUUUCACAACAAUGAAAAUUCACCACUUAGUUUAUCAGGAUGUAGUACAUGAUUAUGACAAGAUAAUACAUUCCAAAAACCACAAGCCAGUGGAAAUGGGGUAUGGUCUUAGGAGCAUCCCCAUGGGAAGGGGAGUUCCUAAGUAUGUCUAAAAUGUGACUAUUCAGGAAGUACAGACUCUGUACUUUCCGUUGAUGGUAGUUUCAUAAAAAUCAAGCGAACAGAACUUGUGUUGUAGUUGCUUGUACAAGUACAUGUUUUGGCCAACACGCACAGUGUCUCCAGCAAAAAUGUUCUUCUGUCAAGUAAAGUGUUUUUUAAGACUAGUAACAAGCAGUACAUUAUAAAGGAAGCUCUCAGGUGAAGGUCUGCACAUGGUGGUGGAUGGUGCAACAUGACGAAAACUUGUUAAAUACAUCUCAGCGAAGCCAUUUGUAAUGUUUCGAUAUUACUUUGUGAUGUCUGGUUCAAUUCAACGUACAUGUAUCAAGGUC